This 220-nucleotide ribosomal RNA is filed under the name uncultured bacterium. RNAcentral describes it as "partial 16S ribosomal RNA". It matches the Rfam family "Bacterial small subunit ribosomal RNA", at positions 103 to 334 of the family's 1533-position model. The record is from RNAcentral.
CGGGUGAGUAACGCGUAGGAAUCUAUCCAUAGGUGAGGCAUAGCUUGCCGAAAGGCGAGGUAAUACCUCAUAGUCUCGCAAGAGUAAAGGACUUAACGGUCCGCCAAUGGAGGAGCCUGCGUCCUAUCAGCUAGUUGGUGAGGUAAAAGCUUACCAAGGCAAUGACGGGUAGCUGGACUGAGAGGUCGGACAGCCACAACUGCACUGAGACACGGGCAGU